Molecule: long non-coding RNA, 1766 nt
Filed under: Marmota monax (woodchuck)
Lineage: Eukaryota; Metazoa; Chordata; Mammalia; Rodentia; Sciuridae
Source: RNAcentral
GGACGUCUUGAAAAUCGAGGGUGCUUCGUCUCCUGGGGACCGGCGGGGGAUGUGCCCUGUGGAGUGCGGCCACGCGGCCACGAGAACGGAAGUGGAAGUUCUCAAGCAGCAGGUGAGAGGUCGGAGCAGACAGUCCUGGGGCCAGGCAGGGCCUGUGGCCAGUGCACUCCUGCUGUUCACAGCGGCCACCCAUUCUCACACUUGCUUUAAUUAGAAGUACUGGUUUCAAAGUUUCCAGGCAGAAUGGAGUUCAGCUGGGUCACAGCGGGGUUCAUAAAGUGGGAACCAAGUCUCUGUGGGUUACGGGUCACCCAAGGUCACACCGUGAAGAGACGAUUGAGAUUCUGUGAGCCCUGGGUCCACGGAGUUCCCUGCAGGCGUGGUUGAUUCUGGAAACACUGCUCACCCAAGAUCUCACCUUUUCAGACAAUGGGAGCCGCCAGGCUAUGAUCCUGCAGGUCCUGGCCUCCUGCCCUUGAACAUCACGGGCAGUUUUCAAAGAAUCUGUGGUUCUGGUUGUGGUCACAGAAGAGUCAGGUCUGCUACCCUACACAGGCCUGGUGCCCCCAGCCACUCCUCUCCCUCACUGCGGCCACGUGGACGGCGAGAGCAAGGGUGCCCUCGAGGGCGCUGGCGGCCGAGCAUGGGGGAGGCAGCACUGGCCAAGCUGCGUGUGUCUGAGCUCAGUCCAGCAGGCUAGUGUCCGCCUCGCUGAAGGGCCAGCUGUGCCUGUCAAGUUUCUCCUCCUGUGAGAGGCUAAGUAGCAGUGAGUAAGGGGACUCGCCGAAAUCCCAGCUCGUGCCCUCAAGAACCUAUUAGCAGCGGGAGACCGAGGCCUGGGGUGAAGGCUGGAAAUCAGUUCUAUCUUUUAGAGGCCCCUGGACAUGUUCACUGACCAGUUUGCUCUGAGUAUGUGCCAAUUACAAGGAGUCUCAAUGUGCCCACGUGGGAAAGCUGAGCCGUGGGGUUAUUCACUUACCGUCAUUACCUGAAAGGAGUAGCUGGAUGUAAAAUCCAGAGCUCUUGGUGGAAAGAUGGGUCUUCUCUUUCCAGAUUAUCUCAUAGGAUAAUCUGCCUGUUAAAUUGGGAUCAUGCCUGUGGCUUAAAAAUUGAUCCAUAGAAAGCGAGGGUGACAUUCAGUUUGUUGAAGUCCUGUCCAGGUGGCAGCCCAGGCAGGGUUCCGGGGCAGGUACUGCCUGUGUUCAGGCCCUGGACCAUCCUGGAGCUCACCGACUAAGCACACUGCAGGCCAGAGGGCACCUGGCAUGUGGGCUGCAGCGGGGUCAGCCAGUGUGGGAUGCAGGCCUGACAGGCGUUCUUUUCAUGUGCGCUGAACAGUGGAGCGACGCCCAUCCCUUCGUUGGCACUAGGGAGAGUGUGUGAUGUUCUGCACAUACAUUUUGACCAAACCCACUUCUAAGUCAGCACCUAUGACUGCAACCCCACCAAGCGCCACACGGGGCAGUCGAGGUUUCAGAUCCACAGAGAAUCUGAGUUAGAACUGAAGUGACGGCACUGCUAGCUAGAAUGUUCAGUUCUCUUUACAUGGGCUUAUCCCAUUCAAAACACCCCAGUAACUGCUCUGUCUGCCUAGAACUGAGCCUCAGCUCUUGACUAAAAAAUAAAUAAAAAUGUCGCUUGGCUGGAUGUAGUUUCCUUGCAAUGGGGCUGAUGAAUAAGGAUUUAAAAAUGAAAUCUAUGUGUAUAUAUUUGUGUGUGCAUGUAUGUACACAUGUGCAUGUGUGUGUGCAUGCUAUGUAUGUGUG